CCUACGGGAGACAGCAGUGGGGAAUAUUGCGCAAUGGGCGAAAGCCUGACGCAGCGACGCCGCGUGAGGGAUGAAGGUCUUCUGAUCGUAAACCUCUGUCAGCAGGGAAGAACGGUCACUGUGCUAUUCCGCAGUGACUUGACGGUACCUGCAAAGGACGCACAGGCUAACUCCGUGCCAGCCGCCGCGGUAAUACGGAGGGUGCGAGCGUUAAUCGGAAUUACUGGGCGUAAAGCGCUCGUAGGCGGUAUGUCAAGUCAAGUGUGAAAUCCCCGGGCUCAACGUGGGAACUGCCUUUGAAACUGGCAGACUGGAGUGUGGGAGAGGAGAGUGGAAUUCGAGGUGUAGGAGUGAAAUGCGUAGAUAUCUGGAGGAACAUCAGUGGCGAAGGCGACUAUCUGGCACAUAACUGACGCUGAGGAGCGAAAGCGUGGGUAGCAAACAGGAUUAGAUACCCGGGUAGUC
This 465-nucleotide ribosomal RNA is filed under the name uncultured bacterium. RNAcentral's name for it is "partial 16S ribosomal RNA". It matches the Rfam family "Bacterial small subunit ribosomal RNA", at positions 338 to 795 of the family's 1533-position model. The record is from RNAcentral.